GACGAACGCUGGCGGCGUGCUUAACACAUGCAAGUCGAACGGUGAUGCUCCAGCUUGCUGGAGUGGAUCAGUGGCGAACGGGUGAGUAACACGUGAGCAACCUGCCCCAGACUCUGGAAUAAGCGCUGGAAACGGCGUCUAAUACUGGAUACGAAACUGGCCCGCAUGGGCAUGGUUUGGAAAGUUUUUCGGUUUGGGAUGGGCUCGCGGCCUAUCAGCUUGUUGGUGAGGUAAUGGCUCACCAAGGCGACGACGGGUAGCCGGCCUGAGAGGGCGACCGGCCACACUGGGACUGAGACACGGCCCAGACGCCUACGGGAGGCAGCAGUGGGGAAUAUUGCACAAUGGGCGAAAGCCUGAUGCAGCGACGCCGCGUGUGGGAUGACGGCCUUCGGGUUGUAAACCUCUUUCAGCUGGGAAGAAGCGAAAGUGACGGUACCUGCAGAAGAAGCACCGGCUAACUACGUG
This 468-nucleotide ribosomal RNA is filed under the name uncultured bacterium. RNAcentral describes it as "partial 16S ribosomal RNA". It matches the Rfam family "Bacterial small subunit ribosomal RNA", at positions 28 to 507 of the family's 1533-position model. The record is from RNAcentral.